Molecule: long non-coding RNA, 1397 nt
Filed under: Homo sapiens (human)
Lineage: Eukaryota; Metazoa; Chordata; Mammalia; Primates; Hominidae
Description: long intergenic non-protein coding RNA 658
Source: RNAcentral
AGAUCUCUCUCUCUGCGGAAGCCAGCCACCGCUCUCCAAGGACUCUCGAGCAGCUCCAUCUACAGAUUCACAUGGAGAAGAAUUAAGGGUUCCUGCCAAUCACCAGCACCACUUUGCCAGCCUUGUAAGUGGGCCACCUUGGAAUUGGAGCCUCCAGUUCCUACUGACAUCUGACUGCAACAUCAUGAGAGACCCUGAGUUUGAACCACCCAGCUGAGCUGCUUCUGAGCUAACCCACUGAAACCGUGAAAGUACCUGAAUGAAACAACACCCAGUAGCCACUAGCACACCUAGCUCCCAGAUCUGUUUUUGAUGCCAUUCUUCAGUAAAAGGAAGCAAGGCUGCUUGGAGAAAUUGCUAUCAAGGACUGGGGUAGAAAAUAUACAAGAUGAAAUUGGAGCAUCUUGUAGUGCUUGAAAACAGUUGGCAUCUGUGUGAAGAUGUGAAUGGAGGAGGCAGAGUAGGCAGUGAGUGCCGCAGCCACAGCUUGUGUUCUCUGCAGCCCUGGCACAGAAGAUAGGAACACUCAUGGGGGAUGCGGCCACUGUGAUGUCUUCCCACACAAGAAGUGCCAAGUGCUUUUCUCAUGCUUUUCUGGAUUGUCCCAUGGUGGACGAGUCAGCAGGAGUGAGAUGGAGCAGCACAGUAGAGGGGUACCUGGCAAGGCCCGGAGGGAGGACCCCCUGCCCCAAACAUUUCAAUGAUAUCAGGUUCCUUAGAUCCUGGGAUGAGGAGGUGGACCAGCAGAAGGUGGGCUUGUGAAGGCAGCCCGGGGUCCAAAUCCUCCUGGCUCUUCAGCUUAGCGGGUUAGUUAACAUUCAGAAGCCUUCAUCUCCCAUCUGCAAAAUGGGCAUGUCCAACUCAGAAGCUGCCUUGAAGAAAGGGUCUACCCAGCAUGGUGCGUGGAGCCUAAGCAGUCAGUACUUCAGGACUUCACCCGGCCCCUUUCCAAUAACUGCUGCUGUCGCCCUCACAGGAUGUCACCUUCAGCGUCUGAAAGCUGGGUUUGAUGCGUCUGGAAAGGCGUCCCUGACAGGCGUCGUUGCCAGGAGCCCCUAGUGCCACCAGCAGCCAGCAGGGGAGGGCGUCCUCUGCCCGCUCACUUCUGACCCUUCUCUCGUUGCACCCGGAACAUGGUGCAGCUGGGAGCAGCCUGGGCUGCGCGGAAGGCUCAGAUUUGGGGACGGCCCUUGCCAGUGACUGUGAGCUGGGGUGUCUUGGAAACUCCCAGUCUCAGCUUCUCCAUUUAUAAGAUGAGAAUGAUCAUACCAGACUCAGGCAAGGUUGUUUGUGCAUUAGUGAAAUCAGACGUAUUAAAUAAAGUACCACAUUGAUCGUGGAGUUGUUGAAUAACCAAGAACACGCCUAUCUGUCUCCAAAAAAUAAAUGUUGAAAAU